UCCCUGGUGGCUCAGAUGGUAAAGAAUCUGCCUGCAAAGCAGGAGACCCAGGUUCAAUCCCUGGGUUGGGAA
Molecule: transfer RNA, 72 nt
Organism: Ovis aries (sheep)
Lineage: Eukaryota; Metazoa; Chordata; Mammalia; Artiodactyla; Bovidae
Rfam family: tRNA
About the family: Transfer RNA (tRNA) molecules are approximately 80 nucleotides in length. Their secondary structure includes four short double-helical elements and three loops (D, anti-codon, and T loops). Further hydrogen bonds mediate the characteristic L-shaped molecular structure. tRNAs have two regions of fundamental functional importance: the anti-codon, which is responsible for specific mRNA codon recognition, and the 3' end, to which the tRNAs corresponding amino acid is attached (by aminoacyl-tRNA synthetases). tRNAs cope with the degeneracy of the genetic code in two manners: having more than one tRNA (with a specific anti-codon) for a particular amino acid; and 'wobble' base-pairing, i.e. permitting non-standard base-pairing at the 3rd anti-codon position.
Source: Rfam